Molecule: long non-coding RNA, 1300 nt
Filed under: Amphibalanus amphitrite
Lineage: Eukaryota; Metazoa; Arthropoda; Thecostraca; Balanomorpha; Balanidae
Description: uncharacterized LOC122385938, transcript variant X2
Source: RNAcentral
UGCGACCACCUUAGUUUGUGAGCUCCAGCCGGGCCGGCCGGCGACGCGCGCGCGAGUUGUGAGCCGCUGUGGACACGUGACCGGCCGCCUGCGGGCGAAUUGGGCGGAGCCGACUGCGGCGGCGGCCGCUGAUCAGCGGUCAGUUGGCGUCCUGAUCUCGAACCCGUAAGGUACGGCCUUUUGCGGCUGAUCUUUGCACACGGGUAGAGUGACGGCGCGACUCAGGCACCGGGAGAGUGCGGCCUUGAGGCUGACUCCUUGCACACCGGUUGCUACCGCUGGUCGGCUAGGCUUCGAGGAGGGGUGGAGGGUCGGCUAUCGGUGGCGGCGCGGGGUAACCCGGUGCCAACCCCAAAUUGGAACCUUUGUGGUGUAGUGUAUUUCUGGAUCGGAUAUCGACCCUGUCCUGACGCGUGAGCUCUCGGUCAGCGAAGCAGCGGCAUGGUGCUCUGCGGUGCUUCACCGGAACGGUCUUUUGGACUGUCCGGUCACAAGCAAUGGACAGAUGGACCGGUACGGCGGCUGGACGGUGACACGGCGGCCGGACGCUGAUCGCACGAAGACCGGGCGCACUGGACUUUCCCGGAAUGGCUCAAGCUGAAGCCAGGCGAAGCGAGUGCGGUGUGCGUGUGCCUAGCUGGACACUGGGCAGUGACGUGCAGUGACGAUGUGUACGUGAUGCGGCGGACGCGGUGCUGACGUCACGGUGAUAUCGGUGAUUCAUUGCGUCCAAGAUGGCAGUUCAUUUUGUGUUGAAAAUUUGUUAAUUUUCAAGGGGGGAGUAUGUUGUGAAAUGCGACCACCUUAGUUUGUGAGCUCCAGCCGGGCCGGCCGGCGACGCGCGCGCGAGUUGUGAGCCGCUGUGGACACGUGACCGGCCGCCUGCGGGCGAAUUGGGCGGAGCCGACUGCGGCGGCGGCCGCUGAUCAGCGGUCAGUUGGCGUCCUGAUCUCGAACCCGUAAGGUACGGCCUUUUGCGGCUGAUCUUUGCACACGGGUAGAGUGACGGCGCGACUCAGGCACCGGGAGAGUGCGGCCUUGAGGCUGACUCCUUGCACACCGGUUGCUACCGCUGGUCGGCUAGGCUUCGAGGAGGGGUGGAGGGUCGGCUAUCGGUGGCGGCGCGGGGUAACCCGGUGCCAACCCCAAAUUGGAACCUUUGUGGUGUAGUGUAUUUCUGGAUCGGAUAUCGGUAAGGUCAGCUAAUGCUGUUUAACUCCGACAAUUGUCGUUUAAAGGGUGGCUAGCCACGGGUUGUAUUUGAUUGUGCUUAUCAUCACAAUAUAUCGCGGCACUUCAA